CCUACGGGUGGCAGCAGUGAGGAAUAUUGGUCAAUGGGCGAGAGCCUGAACCAGCCAAGUCGCGUGAGGGAGUACUGCCCUAUGGGUUGUAAACCUCUUUUGUCGGGGAGCAAAAGCCGGACGUGUCCGGCUGUGAGAGUACCCGAAGAAAAAGCAUCGGCUAACUCCGUGCCAGCAGCCGCGGUAAUACGGAGGAUGCGAGCGUUAUCCGGAUUUAUUGGGUUUAAAGGGUGCGCAGGCGGAUUUUUAAGUCAGCGGUAAAAUCGUGGGGCUCAACCCCAUCCAGCCGUUGAAACUGGGGAUCUAGAGUGUGCGAGAGGUAUGCGGAAUGCGUGGUGUAGCGGUGAAAUGCAUAGAUAUCACGCAGAACCCCGAUUGCGAAGGCAGCAUACCGGUGCACAACUGACGCUCAGGCACGAUAGCGUGGGUAUCGAACAGGAUUAGAUACCCUUGUAGUC
RNAcentral lists this ribosomal RNA (458 nucleotides) under uncultured bacterium. RNAcentral describes it as "partial 16S ribosomal RNA". It matches the Rfam family "Bacterial small subunit ribosomal RNA", at positions 338 to 795 of the family's 1533-position model. The record is from RNAcentral.